Molecule: non-coding RNA, 113 nt
Organism: Acanthosepion pharaonis
Lineage: Eukaryota; Metazoa; Mollusca; Cephalopoda; Sepiida; Sepiidae
Source: the annotation of a GenBank genome assembly
GCAGCCAUAUCAUUCUGAAACACCGGUUCUUGUACGAUUACUGAAGUUAAGCAACAGUGAGCCUGGUCAAGUAUCUCGAUGGGUAACCACUCGGGAAUACCAGGUGCUGUAAG